AACCACAGCCUUAUCCCCCUGCAGCCCAAAAUCUGAUACUGACUUAAGCUGAGCCUGGUCAGUACCUGGAUGGGAGACCACAUGGGAAAACUAGGUUGCUGUUGGCA
RNAcentral lists this ribosomal RNA (107 nucleotides) under Danio rerio (zebrafish). The record is from RNAcentral. Lineage: Eukaryota; Metazoa; Chordata; Actinopteri; Cypriniformes; Danionidae.